This is a long non-coding RNA of Arabidopsis thaliana (thale cress), 839 nucleotides long. RefSeq annotates it as other RNA. Lineage: Eukaryota; Viridiplantae; Streptophyta; Magnoliopsida; Brassicales; Brassicaceae. The transcript has a single exon. The record is from RefSeq.
AGCCUCCACGUUUCACCACACGCUGCGUUGCAACAGAUUCUAGUCAAAAUCAUUAAAUCAUUUAAACAACUACCAUACAUAGAGAUAGCCACUGAAAUGACAAGUACUUAUAAAUGUGUUCAUCCCAUCGAUGCAGAGCAGUCGCCAGUUCUUUUAUUGGUCAAAGAUGCAAUAUACCAAUGUAUAUGAUAUUCAGUUCAUGCAGGAUUGGACAGACUGAAAAUCUAUCAGUCAAACAAAUAUAUCUUGCUUAUGUAUGCUUAGUAAGAACUUUAAUCAAACGAGACACUUCACACUCACAGUUCGUUUAACCAAAAAAUAGCAGAAAUUUAUUAGUAAACAAAGCUAUGAAGACAACUCCGAGUAUAAAUUGUGCAAAGAACUCUUAAGAAACCAGAAAUUGAAUGCAAAGAUGAAGAGAUCGUGCAACACAAUUUCAAGCUUGCGACAUUUUUUCUUUUUAGUUCUCGCAUUUGCUGACAGUAGCAAUACGCAGAGAGCAUAACUAUGGCGAUGAGUCAAGCAUUAUUAGCUUUCAGAAUGGGCUCAUGUCAUCAGUGUCGUGAGUUCAUUCUGAAAGCUAGCUAUUUUGACACAUCAAAGAUUUUGCAGCGCAGUGUGUGUUCCCAGUGAAUAGUUAUGCUGAAGAUAUGUCUUUGCGGAAAUGGGCUGGAUAUGAGUGUAUACAUGUUGAUGCUGUUUAAGGAUUUAUGUUCACACUUAUAGCACAUCUAUAGCAAAAACAAUAAACAAAGAGGCAAAAGUAGAGUUACAGACAGGGCCAAAAGGCAAAAAGAAGGACUAAAAAUCAUUACCUUUGCACAGUGAUUGCUCAGCUU